CCUACAGCAGUGCACAGAGCAGAAUGAUGAUGGAGAGGAUCUUGCUGGUCUUUAUGUAUCUUUCAGGCUGGAAGAUCUCCACCAGCCUUCAACUUCAGUACCACUAUGUGUCUGAUUCAAAGAACUGGACUGAAGCUCAGACCUACUGCAGAGAGACAUACACAGACCUGGCCACCAUUGAAAACACUGAAGAAAUGAAGCCAACUUAUCAACACAGUUUCAUCUGCUGGCUACAACUCUGAUGUCUGGGUUGGCCUGUACAGUAAGGUUGAGUGGAAGUGGUCUGAUGGAUACACAGGGAGUGGAGCUGAGUUUAGGAGCUGGGAAACUUCUGAUGAUGAACCAGACUUUGUUUCAGCCAAUCAGUUCUGUGUGAUCAUUGGAGGUGGAGGAGGAUGGUGGGAUGAUGAUUGCUCUUUGAAAUAUCCAUUGAUCUGUUACAGAGGAACACAGCUGGAGCCUGAAUAUGUUGUGGUGAAUGAAGCAAUGAAUUGGUCCAGUGCUCAGAGGCACUGCAGGGAGAACUUCAUAGACCUGGUCACUGUGAGGAACGACACUGAAAACACUGAGAUACAGAACCUGGUGCCAAGUGGAAACUGGGCAUGGACUGGCCUAUCUAGAGAUCCUAAUUUUUAUUGGUCUGAUCAGAGCAACUUCUCAUUCAGCAACUUGGAUAACACUGCAAACCUCAUUGGCUCUAUGAGAAUCAUAUGUGGUGUUGCAGCUCUGCACCGAUCAGGAAAAUGGAGGUUUUUGCCCUGUGAGAGAAGAUUACCAUUUGUCUGCCACAGCAUCCCUCCACCUCCAGUGAAGAGACAGGUAGUGAAGCUGAGGAUGAAGGUGGAGGACUCCUCUGUGGAUCUGAACGACCCUGCUGUGAAAGCUGGCAUCCUGAAAAAGGCAAGUCUCCAACAUCCAUCCUGAAACACUUUAAAUGGUCACAUUCCUGUGCUCAGUGACAGCAGGCUAUAUGAAAGAUGACUUCCAACACGUAAUGUAGAUUUGGGCUAAUGUUUCAAAAUGGCUGCCAUCUGUGUUUCCAGCUCCAGGACAGACUGGAGGAGAAAGGAGAGAGUGGAGUCUCCCUGAAGUGGAGAGAGCAGCCUGAUGGGAAAGUCUUCCACAAGGAGGGAGAAAAGUCCUCAAAAGAGAGAAAACUGAGCUGUGAAACUGAGACAGCUACACUACACCAGCCUGUAGUUAUCAUACACAAUAUUUAACCAUA
Molecule: long non-coding RNA, 1225 nt
Organism: Lates calcarifer (barramundi perch)
Lineage: Eukaryota; Metazoa; Chordata; Actinopteri; Centropomidae
Exons: 4
Source: RefSeq, a predicted model, not a curated record